UACAGAGGGUGCAAGCGUUGUUCGGAAUUAUUGGGCGUAAAGGGCGCGUAGGCGGUGCCACAAGUCACCUGUGAAAUCUCCGGGCUUAACUCGGAGCCUGCAGGCGAAACUGUGGUGCUGGAGUGUGGGAGAGGUGCGUGGAAUUCCCGGUGUAGCGGUGAAAUGCGUAGAUAUCAGGAAGAACACCUAUGGCGAAGGCAGCUCUCUGGGACGGUACUGGACGCUGAGACGCGAAAGCGUGGGGAGCGAACAGG
This 254-nucleotide ribosomal RNA is filed under the name uncultured bacterium. Its description in RNAcentral is "partial 16S ribosomal RNA". It matches the Rfam family "Bacterial small subunit ribosomal RNA", at positions 524 to 776 of the family's 1533-position model. The record is from RNAcentral.